GUUCCUUGGAAAAGGACAGCUGAGAGGGUGAGACUCCCGUCCGCCUGCCGAAGUGAGUCAUGUGUCAACGAGUCGAGUUGUUUGGGAUUGCAGCUCUAAUUGGGUGGUAAAUUCCAUCUAAAGCUAAAUAUUGGUGGGAGACCGAUAGCGUACAAGUACCGUGAGGGAAAGAUGCAAAGAACUUUGAAAAGAGAGUUAAAGAGUACCUGAAAUUGCUGAAACGGAAGCGAAGGAAACCAGUGUUUGUUGGUUCAUAUUUCCCUGGCCACUUGUGGUUUGGGCGCUGUGAGCUUGCGUGGGUUUGCUUUGGUUGAUCCCUUUGGAAGAGCGCAGUCAGAGUUGAUGUCU
This 348-nucleotide ribosomal RNA is filed under the name Pseudo-nitzschia sp. MVR-2015. Its description in RNAcentral is "LSU rRNA". It matches the Rfam family "Eukaryotic large subunit ribosomal RNA", at positions 185 to 544 of the family's 3401-position model. Lineage: Eukaryota; Bacillariophyta; Bacillariophyceae; Bacillariales; Bacillariaceae. The record is from RNAcentral.